This 254-nucleotide ribosomal RNA is filed under the name uncultured bacterium. Its description in RNAcentral is "partial 16S ribosomal RNA". It matches the Rfam family "Bacterial small subunit ribosomal RNA", at positions 524 to 776 of the family's 1533-position model. The record is from RNAcentral.
UACGGAGGGUGCGAGCGUUGUCCGGAAUCAUUGGGCGUAAAGGGCGCGUAGGUGGCCCGGUCAGUCUUUGGUGAAAGCGCGGGGCUCAACCCUGCGUCGGCCAGGGAUACUGCCGCGGCUCGAGCACUGUAGAGGCAGGCGGAAUUCCGGGUGUAGCGGUGGAAUGCGUAGAGAUCGGGAGGAACACCAGUGGCGAAGGCGGCUCGCUGGGCCGGUCCUGACGCUGAGACGCGAAGGCGUGGGGAGCGAACGGG